This 824-nucleotide long non-coding RNA is filed under the name Homo sapiens (human). The record is from RNAcentral. Lineage: Eukaryota; Metazoa; Chordata; Mammalia; Primates; Hominidae.
CUUUGCUACCAUAUCUGUACCCUGAGGCACAUUUAUAUUGUGUAUAGUACCUUAGGCAGUAGAAAGUCCCAUAUUAACCUUCCCCAGAGCAGUGAGCACCCAGUUAUAGUUGACCCCUUGAAUGAUCCAUUUUCCAUAAUAAUGAGAAUCUCCCAAGCUACUUGCAUCUCUUCCUCAAGAUUUAAAAAUAUUUUCAAAUUCUACCUCACUGGAAGAUAUUGAAGAGAUUUCUCAGGAUCUCAAGUAGGUUAGUUGGACUUAGAGCCAAACCUUGUCAAUGACUCAUCACUGUCCAUGUGUAAAAGUAGAGCUUUGUGCUUGCUUAGGCAGCACAUAUCCUAAAAUUGGAACAAUACAAAGAAAAUUAGCAUGGUGCCUGCAUAAGGAGGCUGAACCAAUUUUUGAAGGAUUCCAAGUUUUGUGCAGUCACUGGAAGGUCAUUUGACUAUUUUCUGACUAGCUCCAAGGAAAUGGUGUGAAUCAAAGCAAAAUGGGUGCCACCUAAAUAUUGAAAUUGUGAUUUUUUGCUACAAAAAUAUUCAUGUAAGGUGGUCUAAGAGAUGACCCCAGAGCUGAAUAAUGUGUGGGGUGUUGUGUGAAAAAUAUAUUGCCAGCAUGUGACUUGAAAAUUCAAGAAGGUCAACUUACAACUUCUUCAUGGAACCUAAAAAAAAAAAAAAAAAAGUAGGGUUUUAGUCUCCCAUGUCAGCUGGAGAUGAGCAGGGAGAUGAAGCAUCAUCCUAACAAACAUCUGCUGGUUUAGAGUUUGAGUCUGUAGAGAAGGAUCAUUGGUCCAAGCCAGGUGUUGACAUCCAGUGGAUUUU